CAGGGAUGGCUAACUGGAAGUUCCUUUGGUCUCGAGCAGAGUUAGGUAAAUAAGCAUUUAGCUUUCUUGCAGCUUAUUUGUGGAACAACCUUCAACAUGUUCUUAAAUGUGAUGUUGUGGUGCAUCUAAGGCAAUUCAGAAAGAGGACCUUUUUUUACUGAUGAAUGUGGUUUUAUUUCAUUACUGUUUUUCUUUCUGCUUGCAUUUUCUAUUUAUAUGGUGUGUGAAUUUUCCGUAAUGUCUGGCAUUCAGGGCUCAUCUGUAAAAUAUACCUUGGUCUCAGUAUGACGACCUGAUAGAGGUUAAAUAAAACAUUUAAAAAUGGACUUCUCACUCGACUGCUGUGUGUCUAUGAUUUUACCAUCGACAGCCAUCGACAUCAUUAAGCCCUGCACAACUAACAUGCUGUUUCCUAUUUAACAACAGAUCAUAAAUAACGCUCAACUGGGACCACUGGCUGCGGUGAUUUAUUUGGACAAAACACAAUGCAAGGAGAGUACGAUUAACAUCUGCUAUCACCGGUGUCAUGACCCGGAUCAACAGCAUCAAUGUAACAGUUUCGCUUGCAUCCCUCUCCUUGCCCCUACCUGGGCUCGACCCAGGGACCCUCUCUCUGCACACAUCAACAACUGCCUCCCACGAAGCAUCGUUAAUCGUCGCUCCACAAAAGCCGCGGCCCUUGCAGAGCAAGGGGAACAUCUACUUCAAGGUCGCAGAGCAAGUGAUGUCACCGAUUUAAACGCUAUUUAGAGCGCACCCCGCUAAUUAGUUAGCCAUUUCACAUUGGCUACACCGGCGGUCCCCAGUGGCAAUAAAUUAGUCAAACCAAAAGCUUACCUUGACUUGGAAGAGUUCUAGUGUUGCGUUGGAUAGUCAUAGCCAGCUAACAUAGCAUACUUCUGUUUGAGUAGGCUAAACUAGCUAGCUGCAUUUGCUGGCUAAUUAAGUGAAACUGAAAAAUAAAUACUAUCUCUCUCUUGCUUCUCCUUCAUUUUGGAAGAAAAUUAUUUGUUCAAAACAGUUCAACUAUUGUCUUUCUCUUUGAGUCAACUAUUCAC
Long non-coding RNA from Oncorhynchus tshawytscha (Chinook salmon), 1058 nucleotides. NCBI's taxonomy places the organism in Eukaryota, Metazoa, Chordata, Actinopteri, Salmoniformes, Salmonidae. The record is from Ensembl.